This 155-nucleotide small nuclear RNA is filed under the name Chrysemys picta bellii (western painted turtle). RNAcentral's name for it is "U1 spliceosomal RNA (ENSCPBG00000025931.1)". It matches the Rfam family "U1 spliceosomal RNA". From Rfam's summary of the family: U1 is a small nuclear RNA (snRNA) component of the spliceosome (involved in pre-mRNA splicing). Lineage: Eukaryota; Metazoa; Chordata; Testudines; Emydidae. The record is from Rfam by way of RNAcentral.
GCAGUUACCUGGCAGGGGAGAUACCAUGAUCACGAAGGUGGUUUUCCCAAGGUGAGGCUCAUCCAUUGCACUGCGGGUGUGCUGACCCCUGCGAUUUCCCCAAAUGCGGGAAACUCGACUGCAUAAUUUGUGGUAGUUCCCUGUGCCCCAGGGAU